RNAcentral lists this ribosomal RNA (183 nucleotides) under Paenalicyclobacillus cycloheptanicus. Its description in RNAcentral is "Alicyclobacillus cycloheptanicus partial 16S ribosomal RNA". It matches the Rfam family "Bacterial small subunit ribosomal RNA", at positions 1354 to 1533 of the family's 1533-position model. Lineage: Bacteria; Bacillati; Bacillota; Bacilli; Caryophanales; Alicyclobacillaceae. The record is from RNAcentral.
AUGCCGCGGUGAAUCCGUUCCCGGGCCUUGUACACACCGCCCGUCACACCACGAGAGUCGGCAACACCCGAAGUCGGUGAGGUAACCGUUAUGGAGCCAGCCACCGAAGGUGGGGUUGAUGAUUGGGGUGAAGUCGUAACAAGGUAGCCGUAUCGGAAGGUGCGGCUGGAUCACCUCCUUUCU